AUUAGUGGCGAACGGGUGAGUAAUAUAUCGGAACGUACCUUGUAAGUGGGGGAUAACUAGUCGAAAGAUUAGCUAAUACCGCAUACGCCCUGAGGGGAAAGUAGGGGAUCUUCGGACCUUACGUUAUAAGAGCGGCCGAUAUCUGAUUAGCUAGUUGGUGGGGUAAUGGCCUACCAAGGCGACGAUCAGUAGCUGGUCUGAGAGGACGACCAGCCACACUGGAACUGAGACACGGUCCAG
Molecule: ribosomal RNA, 240 nt
Filed under: uncultured bacterium
Lineage: Bacteria
Description: partial 16S ribosomal RNA
Rfam family: Bacterial small subunit ribosomal RNA
Source: RNAcentral